This 409-nucleotide ribosomal RNA is filed under the name Salmonella enterica subsp. enterica serovar Dublin. Its description in RNAcentral is "bacterial SSU rRNA". It matches the Rfam family "Bacterial small subunit ribosomal RNA", at positions 1113 to 1522 of the family's 1533-position model. Lineage: Bacteria; Pseudomonadati; Pseudomonadota; Gammaproteobacteria; Enterobacterales; Enterobacteriaceae. The record is from RNAcentral.
UGUUGCCAGCGGUUAGGUCGGGAACUCAAAGGAGACUGCCAGUGAUAAACUGGAGGAAGGUGGGGAUGACGUCAAGUCAUCAUGGCCCUUACGACCAGGGCUACACACGUGCUACAAUGGCGCAUACAAAGAGAAGCGACCUCGCGAGAGCAAGCGGACCUCAUAAAGUGCGUCGUAGUCCGGAUUGGAGUCUGCAACUCGACUCCAUGAAGUCGGAAUCGCUAGUAAUCGUGGAUCAGAAUGCCACGGUGAAUACGUUCCCGGGCCUUGUACACACCGCCCGUCACACCAUGGGAGUGGGUUGCAAAAGAAGUAGGUAGCUUAACCUUCGGGAGGGCGCUUACCACUUUGUGAUUCAUGACUGGGGUGAAGUCGUAACAAGGUAACCGUAGGGGAACCUGCGGUUGGA